GUACCCUCAAGCUCUGCUUGGUGUUGGGUGUUUGUUCCGCCGCGCGCGCGAACUCGCCUCAAAUGUAUUGGCAGCCGGCAAUCUGGUGUUUGAGCGCAGCACAAUUUGCGCUCUCCACUGUGUUGCGGCGUCCACAAAGCCUAUUUCAAC
RNAcentral lists this unclassified non-coding RNA (150 nucleotides) under uncultured Pleosporales. RNAcentral's name for it is "sequence contains ITS2". The record is from RNAcentral. Lineage: Eukaryota; Fungi; Ascomycota; Dothideomycetes; Pleosporales.